GGAUAAGGUACUUGCAGCACAUAGAUAUGGCAUCAAGAGAGUAAUAUUGCCAGAAAGAAACAUGAAGGACUUGGCUGAGGUUCCAGCACCCAUUCUCUCUGGCUUGGAGAUUCUGCUUGUGAAGCGCAUCGAGGAAGUACUUGACCAUGCUUUUGAAGGUGGAUGCCCUCUGAGACCACACUCCAAGCUAUAGCAUCAACCAAUCUGAAGAUGGC
Molecule: unclassified non-coding RNA, 215 nt
Filed under: Hevea brasiliensis (rubber tree)
Lineage: Eukaryota; Viridiplantae; Streptophyta; Magnoliopsida; Malpighiales; Euphorbiaceae
Source: RNAcentral